UUAUUUAUUUUCAUUUUACUUAAAAUAUAUGUUUUUGUUAAGUUAACAUAUGUUUUUCUAAUCAAGUCUACGUAAUUGUGUCUAUUAUUCAACGUACAUAAUACUAAUGUGUUACUUGAUCGCAUAACAUUUAAGUUAAGUCAAUGAGGAUCGAUAUACCUUGUAUAUCCACAAGGUGGCAGUAAUGCAAAAACAGUUGUAAUGAAACCGCGCAGAACAAGAAGGUUUCACGGCUUGUGCCUGCUCAUGCGCAAGACUUCAAAUUUAACUGAAAAAGGCUGUUUUGGCGCCAAGCUGCUGUUUCUUUGAGAGAUCCUGCCUUUACCUGCUCCCUCCUAUACUGAUGUGGUGUAUGUGGUACUGCUGAGCUUGUAUGUGGUGGAAGCAGAAUAUGUGAGGAUUACUACUGCUGCACAUGUUCCAAGGCUUUUUACACAACUUGACCAAUACACUGACCAGCUCAUAAAAGUCUUCAAGAAAAAAGGAGGCGUUGCAGGGAAGAAAAUUAGACAAACUUUGGCCCCAGCCACACAGAAGGAAACCAUUGAAAAGGGGAGGGAGUGUGUCCUCAGGGCACUACCUUUUUACCUGAAUGAAGACCCAAGCAUCCUCUUCAAAGAAUAAUUGCUACAGCUGUUCAGAGGGAGCUGGAACAAAUUACCCUUGCUAUCUUUACCAUCGAAAGAGCUGAUGCCAGCACUCCUCCAGCCGAUGUGGGUAUAACCAUCUAGUGUGUCCUGCAUGACCUGGAAGACCUGGCCUCUGCAUGUGCACUCUUAAUGGGUGGGAUAUAUGCACUGAAUCUCAGUUAACCUCAAGACUGAAAGCUAAGAGACAAUCAAAAGUAUUGAGAUUUAAAGGAUUUAAUUGAGAGAUGAUACUGCACCAGAAAUGUUGAAGGGUGGUGUGUAUAUUAGCGUUCAAGGCAUAUUGUUAUGAGGUGGAAAUAUGUUCAUAUUCAGUUUGUGUUACAUUGUGUGCAUUGUAAAGGUAAUUGCAAUACAUACUAAAAAUAAGGGUAAGUUAGGAGGUUGAU
Molecule: long non-coding RNA, 1036 nt
Organism: Maylandia zebra (zebra mbuna)
Lineage: Eukaryota; Metazoa; Chordata; Actinopteri; Cichliformes; Cichlidae
Source: RefSeq, a predicted model, not a curated record